AUGAACGCUGGCGGCGUGCCUAAUACCUGCAAGUUGAGCGAACAGACGAGGAGCUUGCUCCUCUGACGUUAGCGGCGGACGGGUGAGUAACACGUGGAUAACCUACCUAUAAGACUGGGAUAACUUCGGGAAACCGGAGCUAAUACCGGCUAAUAUCUUGAACCGCAUGGAUCAAUAGUAAAAGACGGUUUUGCUGUCACUUAUAGAUGGAUCCGCGCCGCAUUAGCUAGUUGGUAAGGUAACGGCUUACCAAGGCAACGAUGCGUAGCCGACCUGAGAGGGUGAUCGGCCACACUGGAACUGAGACACGGUCCAGACUCCUACGGGAGGCAGCAGUAGGGAAUCUUCCGCAAUGGGCGAAAGCCUGACGGAGCAACGCCGCGUGAGUGAUGAAGGUCUUCGGAUCGUAAAACUCUGUUAUUAGGGAAGAACAAAUGUGUAAGUAACUAUGCACGUCUUGACGGUACCUAAUCAGAAAGCCACGGCUAACUACGUG
This 496-nucleotide ribosomal RNA is filed under the name uncultured bacterium. RNAcentral describes it as "partial 16S ribosomal RNA". It matches the Rfam family "Bacterial small subunit ribosomal RNA", at positions 29 to 507 of the family's 1533-position model. The record is from RNAcentral.